This 116-nucleotide microRNA precursor is filed under the name Gossypium hirsutum (cotton). Its description in RNAcentral is "MIR7502 microRNA precursor family". It matches the Rfam family "MIR7502 microRNA precursor family". Lineage: Eukaryota; Viridiplantae; Streptophyta; Magnoliopsida; Malvales; Malvaceae. The record is from Rfam by way of RNAcentral. RNAcentral also lists the same sequence under 1 other name.
UGUUAAGAUUUUCAUCCAUUUUUGCUAUUAAAACCUAGCGUGGUUGAUAGAAUAAUCAAAUAGUUACACAGGACGUGUUGCGUACAUCUUAGUAGAAAUUGAUGAAAUUUUUAACA